AGAGUUUGAUCCUGGCUCAGGACGAACGCUGGCGGCGUGCUUAACACAUGCAAGUCGAACGGUAAGCGCAUCUUCGGGUGUGUACGAGUGGCGAACGGGUGAGUAACACGUGGGUGAUCUGCCCUGCACUUUGGGAUAAGCCUGGGAAACUGGGUCUAAUACCGGAUAGGACCAUGGGAUGCAUGUUUCGUGGUGGAAAG
This 200-nucleotide ribosomal RNA is filed under the name uncultured bacterium. Its description in RNAcentral is "partial 16S ribosomal RNA". It matches the Rfam family "Bacterial small subunit ribosomal RNA", at positions 8 to 207 of the family's 1533-position model. The record is from RNAcentral.